CCUGACUGCCAUCGGAAUGAUACUAAGCCAUGUGAGUCAUUGUAGCGAUACAAGGCAGACGGCUCAGUAACACGUAGCCAAUCUAACCUAUGGACGGGGAUAACCUCGGGAAACUGAGGAUAAACCCCGAUAGAUCAUUAUGCCUGGAAAGGUUUAUGGUCCAAAUGAUUCGUCGCCGUAGGAUGAGACUGCGGCCUAUCAGCUUGUUGGUGAGGUAAUGGCCCACCAAGGCUAUAACAGGUACGGGCUCUGAGAGGAGAAGCCCGCAGAUGGGUACUGAGACACGGACCCAGGCCCUAUGGGGCGCAGCAGGCGAGAAACCUUUGCAAUGUGCGCAAGCACGACAAGGUUAAUCCGAGUGGUGCCUGCUAAAGGAAUCUCUUGUUAGUCCUAAAAACACUAGUGAAUAAGGGGUGGGCAAGUUCUGGUGUCAGCCGCCGCGGUAAAACCAACACCUCAAGUGGUCAGGAGGAUUAUUGGGCCCUAAAGCAUCCGUAGCUUGCUCUGUAAGUUUCCGGUUAAAUCCAUUAGCUCAACUAAUGGGCUGCCGGAUAAACUGCAAAGCUAGGAAGUGGGAGAGGUAGACGGUACUCGGUAGGAAGGGGUAAAAUCCUUUGAUCUAUUGAUGACCACCUGUGGCGAAGGCGGUAUACCAGAACACGUUCGACAGUGAGGGAUGAAAGCUGGGGGACCAAACCGGAUUAGAUACCCGGGUAGUCCCAGCUGUAAACGAUGCAGACUCGGUGAUGCCCUGGCUUGUGGCCAGUGCAGUGCCGCAGGGAAGCCGUUAAGUUUGCCGCCUGGGAAGUACGUACGCAAGUAUGAAACUUAAAGGAAUUGGCGGGGGAGCACCACAAGGGGUGAAGCCUGCGGUUC
This 876-nucleotide ribosomal RNA is filed under the name uncultured archaeon. Its description in RNAcentral is "bacterial SSU rRNA". It matches the Rfam family "Archaeal small subunit ribosomal RNA", at positions 21 to 903 of the family's 1478-position model. The record is from RNAcentral.